ACAAAGAAGGUUUUUUCCUAUGUUUGAUUCUUCUUUUUUAUAAGCUUUAAGUUAUGAAUCACCUUGCUGUUAUAAGUUUCUUUAAAGUUUAUGCUUAGACAGAUCAAGACGGUGGAAGAGGAUGUGGAGCUCACCUCUUCCCACAAAUACACCAGAAAUCAUCUACAAAUGGAGCAAUCCUCACAGGAUGUCUACUGAACACUGACAGAAGAACUCCAACACCUGAAAGGACAAGAGGGAUUUCCACAUAACCAGGUAAGAUGAAAAAGAAAAAAAAAAGAGGUAGAAGCAGGUCAGCACCUGUGUCCCAGGGAGGGAGCUAAAGUAAAGGGGAGGCUGUGGCUCCUGGGGGAAACCCCUCACAGUGGAGACCAGCAGGACAGGAAAGGAGCUCCAGAACCUCAGAGGAUAGCACAACAGCCAGUCUUUAGCAGGCAGGACAGAAUGAGACAUACACAUAUGGUUCAUGCAACCACCCUGCACACCUAAGUCUGAGAUAAGAUUUCUAAGAUACAGGUGGAAGCUGAGUGCUAAAGUGUAGGGUUUGGAGAAGAGACCUGGGGAUAGGAUAGCUAUUAGCUGUGUGGAACAGCAUGGAGCCAUGGAAGGGCAGAGUGCUGCAAAUAGGAAAAUUUAGAAAAGAGGCCAGGACCACCAGGGAGGGUAAGUGUCACUGGCAGGUAGCAGGCGAGGGACAAAGACAUCAUUACAGCCCCCUUCCUAACACAGGCCUCUGCCUCUGUGAGCUCUGCUGGAGGCUCCUGCCUGAGCUGGACUGCACCUCCUAUCGCAGCCUGACACUCUCCUGCUGGAAAAGGCUGUUGGAUAUCCCAAUUAUGGCCUCACCCCGCCUCACUUCACACAUCAAUUUCUGCCCCCAACCCUAUGUACCUGUUGCCUCCAAAGCAGUAGCUGACCACUCAGCCACCCUGUAUACCUAUUGAUUCAGGAGUAAUCAUCAGUGGUUUUCUCCAACAUAGAGGUGAAACUAAAACCGUAGCUGAGCCCCAGCAGUCCUGUAACUAAGGAGAAAGAUCCAAAACCUCUCCUCCUGGCCGCAAAAACCCAGUUUCCCACUUCCACUGCCAGCCCUCUAAGUUCAGUACUAGUAGAAGAUCCAAACAGACAAUAAGUGCUCUUGCAGCUGAAAGGGGUCUGGUUUAGCAGCCAUGGGUUUUGUGGGUACAUACACACAGGGGUUGGACCAGGCCAGAGACUGAGCUGAAUCCAUAGCAGGCCUGGGUCCUGACCUCAGUGGCUCUGCAUCAGUGGUCAGAUGAGAAUAAUGCCUGAGAGACACCAGGGCCAGUUACUGACGUACCUGUGAUUAAGAUGGGGAUUAACCAAGAGUAGUAUCAAAGAUGGUGUUGUUUGUGAGCCUGCACAAUAAAAAGUGGCACGCACACACACACACACACACACACGUGAACAGCUCUAGCAGAGGAAUACUCAGUGGCACCUCUCCCAGUGGGAGUAUUAAAAUCCCUCCUACUUGCACUGCAGAUCAGAAAUAGCUCAGAAACAGAUCUGCUGGCUUCGACCCUAACAACUAGGGAGCAGACUCCUCCUCUUACAGGGCUGAGACAACCAUAGAGCAAAUAGGAGGCCCUGCUCAAUAUCUAGAACAAGCUCUGGUCACAACUACAUCAGUCACAUCUUCUAUCAAGAAGAUAACUGCUGGCACCCACUGAGGAAAUAGGUGGCAGACAUCCAAAUUAAAAAUAGCCCUUGCAUUAAAAAAAGUAUCAAAUGUAGACACGCUGCCUAAAGUCAUAAUGAGCUGACAGCACCUCUAAACACACCAACUGACAUGGCCCUAACCACCAGAGGGCCACGACCAGCUCCACCAAUCAGUGGGAAGACACCUGUCCCUCCAACCAGGAAUCCUGCUCAAACCCUGGACCAAACUGACCCACCAGAGGGCAGACACUAGAAGGAAAAUGAACUGAAACCCUGCAUCUAACAGAAAGGAAAUCACAAACCUAGACAGACAAAUGAGACAACUGAGAAGUAUCUUUCAGAAAAAGGAACACAAUGAAAACCACAAAAACAACUAAAUGAAGAGGAGAUAGGCAAUCUACCUAAAAAGUAAUUCAGAGUAAUGAUAGUAAGGAUGAUCCAAGAUCUCAGAAAAAAGAAUGGAUACACAGAUUGAGAAGGUACAAGAAAUGUUUAACAAAGAGGUAGAAUGUAUAAAGAGCAAGCAAACCAAGGCGAACCAUAUACCUGAAAAGAAAAAUGCACUAGACGGAAUCAACAGCAGAAUAACUGAGGCAGAGGGAUGAAUAGGUGAGGUGGAAUAAAGAGUAGUGGAAAUCACUCCCAUGGAAAAGAAUAAACAGCAAAGAAUGAAAAGAAAAGAGAACAAUCUAGGAGACCUUGGAACAACAAACAUACCAACAUUCACAAAUUAGGGGUCCCAGAAGGGAAGAGAGAUAGAACAAACCUGAGAAAAUAUUUGAACAGAUUGUAGCCAUAAACUUUCCUAAGAUGGGAGAGGAAACAUUCACUCAAAUAGAUAAGCCCAGAGAAUCCCUUACAGGAUAAUCCAAAGGAGGAACACACUUAGACACAUAUUAAUCAAACUGACAAAAUUUAAAUACAAAAAAAUAAUAUUAAAAGCAGCAAGAAGAGUUCCUGUCGUGGCACAGUGGUUAAUGAAUCUGACUAGGAACCAUGAGGUUGCAGGUUCAAUCCCUGGCCUUGCUCAGUCGGUUGAUGAUUGGGUACUGCUGGGAGCUGUGGUGUAUGUCACAGACACGGCUUGGAUCCUGUGUUGCUGUGGCUCUGGCAUAGGCCGGUGGCUAUGGCUCCAAUGAGACCCCUAGCCUGGAAAUCUCCAUAUGCUGCAGGAGUGGUCCUAGAAAAGGCAAAAAGACAAAAAAUAAUAAUAAAUAAAAGCAACAAGGGAAAAGAAAGAAAUAACAUAGAAGUGAAUCCCCAGAAGGUUAUCAGCUGAUUUUUCAGCAGAAACUACAUGCAGAAAGGAGUGGUACAAUAUAUUUAAAUGAGGAAAGGGAAAAAACUUCAACCAAAAAUACUCUACUCAGCAAGGCUCUCAUUCAGAUUUGAAAGAGAACUUGAAAGCUUUACAAACAAGCAUAAGCUAAAAGAAUUCAGCACCACCACACCACCUUUAAGACAAAUGCUAAGGUAACUUCUCUAGGUUGGAAAAAAAAAAAAAAAAAAAAAGCCACAACUGGAAAACAAGAAAAACUCUGAAGAAACAACCUAUCCAUACACUUGGAAGCAGUCAUAAAAACAUUAAACAAAACCCAAAGUGAGUAGAUGGAAAGAAAUCAUAAAGAUCAGAGCAGAAAUAAAUGACUGAUGAAGAAAACAAUAAAAAAGAUCAAUAAAACUGUGGUUCUUUGAAAAUAUCAACAAAAUUGAUGAACAUUUAAUCAAACUUACCAAGAAAAAAAGGGCUCAAUUAAAUAAAAUUAAAAAUGAAAAAAGACAAAUGAGAACAGACAUCAAAUAAAUACAAAGGAGGAGAUACUAGGAUACUAUAGAACUCUUAGAGGAAAAUAUAGACAGAACACUUUGACAUAAAUUGCAGCAAUAUCUUUUUGGCUCUAUCUCCUAGAGUAAUAAAAAUAAAACCAAAAAUAAGCAUAUUUGACCUAAUUAAAAGCUUUUGCACAGCAGAGGAAACCAUUAAAAAACUGAAAACACAACCCACAGAAUGGGACACAAUCUUUGUAAAUGAAGCAACAGAUAAGGGAUUAAUCUCCAAAAUAUACAAAUAUCUGAUGCAACUUUAUAUCAAAAAAAAGAACCACUCAAUCAAAAAGUCAGAAAAUCUAAAUAAACAUUUCUCCAAAGAUGACAUACAGACUGUCAAAAAGCACAUGAAAAGAUGCUCAACAUCACUAAUUAUUAAAGAAAUGCACAUCGAAACUACAAUAAGCUUAUCACCUCCCACCAGUUAGAAUGGUCAUCAUUAAAAAGUCUUCAAACAAAUUCUGGAGAGGGUAUGGAGAAAAGUGAGCCCUCCUGCAUGCUUGGUGGGAAUGAAAAUUUGUUGGCCACUAUGGAGAACAGUAUGGAGAUUCCUUUAAAAACU
RNAcentral lists this long non-coding RNA (4069 nucleotides) under Sus scrofa (pig). Its description in RNAcentral is "lncRNA (ENSSSCG00000051270.1)". Lineage: Eukaryota; Metazoa; Chordata; Mammalia; Artiodactyla; Suidae. The record is from RNAcentral.